ACGCACGCUGGCGGCGUGCUUAACACAUGCAAGUCGAACGGAAAGGCCCUGCUUUUGUGGGGUGCUCGAGUGGCGAACGGGUGAGUAACACGUGAGUAACCUGCCCUUGACUUUGGGAUAACUUCAGGAAACUGGGGCUAAUACCGGAUAGGAGCUCCUGCUGCAUGGUGGGGGUUGGAAAGUUUCGGCGGUUGGGGAUGGACUCGCGGCUUAUCAGCUUGUUGGUGGGGUAGUGGCUUACCAAGGCUUUGACGGGUGGCCGGCCUGAGAGGGUGACCGGCCACAUUGGGACUGAGAUACGGCCCAGACUCCUACGGGAGGCAGCAGUGGGGAAUAUUGCACAAUGGGCGGAAGCCUGAUGCAGCAACGCCGCGUGCGGGAUGACGGCCUUCGGGUUGUAAACCGCUUUCGCCUGUGACGAAGCGUGAGUGACGGUAAUGGGUAAAGAAGCACCGGCUAACUACGUG
This 467-nucleotide ribosomal RNA is filed under the name uncultured bacterium. RNAcentral describes it as "partial 16S ribosomal RNA". It matches the Rfam family "Bacterial small subunit ribosomal RNA", at positions 29 to 507 of the family's 1533-position model. The record is from RNAcentral.